This 3071-nucleotide long non-coding RNA is filed under the name Vitis vinifera (wine grape). RNAcentral describes it as "long non-coding RNA (VVIN_LNC002986)". Lineage: Eukaryota; Viridiplantae; Streptophyta; Magnoliopsida; Vitales; Vitaceae. The record is from RNAcentral.
UCUGAUCGACAAGGAGCAGUUUGUCCUUUUAUUUAGAUACCAAACCACACAACACAGAACAGCAGUUCUAUGCACAUCAACACAGCAUCGUCAAUCCAAUCAAGCCCCGCUUGUUAAAGGACAAGGACAUGGAUAAAUCUCAGCUGGUGAAAGCAUAUGCGUAAUCCAUGUAUCUAAACGUAAUAGGCUUUGCAUCAGUGAGUUGCACGCUUACAGAGUGUCAUAAAGCUUUAUCUACAUAUAUGAUGAAAUUGAAGUCAGACUUGACAAACUCAGAACUCCCUUUCUGGGAAGAGGAUAGGAGCAGCCAGGGACCAGAUGUACAGAGCUGCGGUUGCCCAUCCAGUCACGAUCCUGACCCACACAGAUGGCCACCCAACAUCCACCAAUCUCCCACUCUCACCAACUGAGGUCGACCACCCUGUCAGGAGCAUAGCUGAAUACAUGCUUGCAAGAGAGAAGAUGAUGUGGAAGAAGGUAUAUGAGUAUGUGACUGGCUUAGCCUCGUGUUUUUCUUCAGGCACAUCCGUCUUUUCCAGUGGAAGCAAAGGCUUUCCAGCACCUUUAUGAGUAAAAGGAGAGUGUUAGUUCUGAAAGAGCAGACAAAAAAAAAAAAAAAAAGCCUAAAAAUGGGUGAGUCCCUUACAACUUUGUAUAACCUAAAUGUGAAAUAAUGAUUUUUUUUUUCCUGAUCAAUUGUCCCAGAGAAUAGAUGUCUUUUUUUUCACUAAAACUAUAGGAGUCAAAAGCUGCAAGAGAUCUUUAAUUUUCUUAUCUUGAAGUAAACAAAGAUUCAGAGACAAAAGAUAAAACAUUUGUAGAUACAUAAACAAAAUAUCCCCCUCUGAAACCUUCUGAAGUGAAAGAUCAAAAUCACUACUGUAAUUUGAAACUAAUGAUUUACAAAGCACAGAAGAAAAACGCAACGCAAAUCAGUAGCUCAUGAAGAGAGACCAUGAAAAUUUUGAGAGAGAUUCUACAAGGUUUGAAAUGAAGUAUGAAUAUUCAGGAGAUAUUUUCAGUAUUUUUUAACUUUCCUGAGAAAAAGGUUAUCAAUAGAGAGAAAAUACUGCAAGUAACAAAAAGAUGCCCAUGGGUUGUUUUGUGCAUAUUAGAGAUCUUUUGUGCUCAGAUUGGUCUGGAUGGGUUGUUUUUCUUUUGUUCACCCACUGGGCUUUCUAUCUCUCUCAUGUAUUGCACAUACACACACAUGCAUUUACACGCCAUUUAAGUGCAGCACCUUCUGUAUUAACAUAAAUAUUCAUCUCUCAAGCCUCUUUAUAAUUACCUAAUAAACAGUGUUAUCAAUAUGCUAUAUUCCAAUUCUAUUGCCUUCCUAUGUUAUAAUUCUCACUCUGGUUAUGUAUCUUCUACAAUAAAUAAUCCUUUUUAGAAGUACCAUAGAGCCUUGCAGGCUUGCACUCUUAAUUGCCAAAGUCUACAACAAACCAAGAGACUCAAAAGUGACACUGGUCUUGUCACAGGCUGCUCCAAUCUUUGCACAACCAUGGUAUCAGCAAUAUACGACACCUAGCUCACAAAGUAGGUGUCAUAGAGUGCUCCAUGCAUGCUGCACAUGCUCAUUGGCAAUGUGUCAUGCCCAAAUGGAUGAUGAAACAUUUAGGUUCUUUAUGAAUCUAAAAGCAAAUUUUAUGGGUUCCCAAACAUUUUAUGGAAGGUUAACAUUCAUUUACUUCUUGGAUCACCAUCAGCACAUCAACUAAAAGGAGUCUCUGCAUCCACAUUCCAUAGAAUAGUGUGCAAAGUCAACAUUCAUAAGAGGAUUUAUAUUUUUGUAUGAAUUCUAACCUGCACGUGGUGAACUUGGUGGGGAGAGAAGAGUUGUUGAAGAACCAGCACGAACAGCAGAGUAGAUAACCGACAGAAUAGUGGUCAGCAGUCCCAAGGUAAGGGUGCCAGUGGAAACAGCUUUAGAGUGCUUGUGAAGGCCAUUGCAUUCAUAAUCCCUGGGCUCACUGGAAAGCCCACUGUAGCAGAGGUACAUGCAAUACAAAGAUACAACUGAAGCUGGCAAAAUGCUGCCACCAACCUAAUUUGCAUCCAUCAAAACCGUGAGAUAUCAAGGAUGAUGAAAUCUCAAUUUUUGAAGUGAACUAGAAAAUCAAUAUGCACUUAGAAGAAUAACCAUGAAAUGUGCUCAAUUCAACCCAAGUUGCCUUACUACUGUAGAAUUUAGAUCGCUUCUUUGUUCUUUUUAUUCUUUAUUCAAGAAUAGGUAGGCUCCUUCAUAGGUUACCAGCUCCAAAUACCCAGAUUAUAAUUCAAUGGAAAAGGAAAAGGCAGUACACAUGGUCAAAUACCAACAAAACAUGCUCUAGCAAUCAUUUGUCUCCAACAGGUUCGUUCAUUUUUGACUUUGAACUCUGCUUUUUAUUGGAUUUGAUUAUUUGGAAUUAAACCUAGAAAUCCUAGAUUGACCCUAACUCCCUGCCACCUGAGCCAAUCUCCAUUAGUAAACAAACUAUAAAACUAUUAAGUUAAACAAGAUGACAAUUUAGGUGUAUAUGGGCCUGUUUGAGAACAUUUUCAAAAACAGUUCUCAAUUCUUUUCAGGAACAAAAUUCUGUUUGAGAACUCUUACAUAUAAAACAAAAGUUUUCAAAUAGAAAUUAGGAGCUAAUCGUGCAAGGAAAGCCUACACCAUCAAUGAGUAUGGCAAACUUAAUAAGUCAUUUUUUAAUCAUCAUAUGAUCCUUAUUCUGACUGUUAUGGGAUGGCUACAUAGAACCAUUCUGAAUCCAUUCUAUUUACGUCCAUUACUUCCAUCAAGUAUUUUGUGCACAAAUUUACUAUCAUAAUAUGCAUGGUCUUGGAAGAUGAGCAAACUAGUCAAAUUGAAAAUAUUUGGCUAUAAUUACAAGUUGACAGAUUAGAAACUUACUGCUGGAUGCAGAGCCACUAUUGCAAAAACAAAAGCAAGAAUCAGGGUCAUAACAAUAAAGAAGGUGUUGAGCCCACAAUCAUGUCCAGAUGGAGUAAAGAAAUGGAAGAGAAGUCCCGAGAAGGAAAAUGUUGCCACAUAGCAAACAAGUGAAACAACAAAUAGAGCA